GUUUUCCUGGUAGCCCUGGUCCCCUGCAUUCUUGGUGCUGGAGCAGCUGGUUUACAAGCUUGCUUUGCUCUCUGUGUUUUCUGGGCUGGCCUUGCUGUAGCCCUACACAUGUGUUCAGUCUCCAGCUCAGCGGCUCCGCACAGCACAGCAGGGGCCGAGUUGCACAUUCCAGGAAAGCAGAGCGUUGAUGUCACGAGGCCUCGAACCCCAGCUGCACGCCAGGCUGCAGAGACAUCUCCGGCAAGAUCAGGGAUGAUCAGGGUCCUGCUGUGGCACGUUGCUAAUGUCUCCAAGAGGGAAGGAAAGCACGAUCACAACCAAGCUGGUGGAUAUUCGGUAACAUCAGACUCCAGGUGACCCAUGG
Molecule: long non-coding RNA, 364 nt
Filed under: Cavia porcellus (domestic guinea pig)
Lineage: Eukaryota; Metazoa; Chordata; Mammalia; Rodentia; Caviidae
Description: lncRNA (ENSCPOG00000031946.1)
Source: RNAcentral